GGAACAGAGGAUGCUGGGAAGCAAACUUCGGUGCUCUACAAGAGCAGGAAACACUCAGCUGAGGAGCCACCUCUCCCGCCCGUUAUAUAUAGACAGCAACUCCAUAGAACGUUCUUCACCCCGUUGUCCCUGCCACAUCUUGGGCUUUUCUUGUAGGCGGCCAUGUUGAUACUGAUGGCGCGUGUGCGUCAAGGAUCCUAGAGGCAACAGCCAGAAACUCUAAGGAACCUAUUGGGACUCUUAUCAAAGUGCAGUUGGCAGCCUGAGACACAGACCUGAACAUACUGUGCUCCAACCCCAUCGCCAUCUGACUCCUGAUGCUAGCAAGAGCUGUCCAUCAGACAAGGAGACAUGUCCACACCAGAACCCCACUACCGCGAUGUCACCUCAAGGCCUCAUCAGCUGAAGCCAGGUUGGCCACACUCCUUUCAUUAAGACCCAGUUUCUUGGGGGCUGGUGAAAUGGCUCAGCGGUUAAGAGCACUGACUGCUCUUCUGAAGGUCCUGAGUUCAAAUUCCAGCAACCACAUGGUAGCU
Mastomys coucha (southern multimammate mouse) is the source of this 536-nucleotide long non-coding RNA. RefSeq lists it as uncharacterized. Lineage: Eukaryota; Metazoa; Chordata; Mammalia; Rodentia; Muridae. The transcript has 5 exons. The record is from RefSeq and is a predicted model, not a curated record.